UACGUACUGGGCGAACGUUAUUCGGAAUCACUGGGCUUAAAGGGUGCGUAGGCGGUUAGAUAAGUAGGAUGUGAAAUCCCCCGGCCCAACCGGGGAACUGCGUUCUAAACUGUCUGACUUGAGUAAGAUAGGGGUGUGUGGAACUUCCAGUGGAGCGGUGAAAUGUGUUGAUAUUGGAAGGAACGCCGGUGGCGAAAGCGGCACACUGGGUCUUAACUGACGCUGAGGCACGAAAGCUAGGGUAGCGAACGGG
Molecule: unclassified non-coding RNA, 253 nt
Filed under: uncultured Planctomycetales bacterium
Lineage: Bacteria; Pseudomonadati; Planctomycetota; Planctomycetia; Planctomycetales
Description: contains 16S-23S intergenic spacer region
Rfam family: Bacterial small subunit ribosomal RNA
Source: RNAcentral